RNAcentral lists this ribosomal RNA (520 nucleotides) under uncultured Glomus. RNAcentral describes it as "SSU rRNA". It matches the Rfam family "Eukaryotic small subunit ribosomal RNA", at positions 569 to 1089 of the family's 1831-position model. Lineage: Eukaryota; Fungi; Glomeromycota; Glomeromycetes; Glomerales; Glomeraceae. The record is from RNAcentral.
AGCAGCCGCGGUAAUUCCAGCUCCAAUAGCGUAUAUUAAAGUUGUUGCAGUUAAAAAGCUCGUAGUUGAAUUUCGGGGUCAGUAGGUCGGUCGUGCCACUGGUAUGAACUGGUUUUACUGAUUCCUCCCCCUUGAAGAACUGUAAUGCCAUUAAUUUGGUGUUGCAGGGAAUCAGGACUGCUACUUUGAAAAAAUUAGAGUGUUUAAAGCAGGCUUUAGCUUGAAUACAUUAGCAUGGAAUAAUGAAAUAGGACGUUUGAUCCUAUUUUGUUGGUUUCUAGGAUUGACGUAAUGAUUAAUAGGGAUAGUUGGGGGCAUUAGUAUUCAAUUGUCAGAGGUGAAAUUCUUGGAUUUAUUGAAGACUAACUACUGCGAAAGCAUUUGCCAAGGAUGUUUUCAUUAAUCAAGAACGAAAGUUAGGGGAUCGAAGACGAUCAGAUACCGUCGUAGUCUUAACCAUAAACUAUGCCGACUAGGGAUCGGAUGAUGUUAAUUUUUUUAAUGACUCAUUCGGCGCCUU